AUUGAACGCUGGCGGCAGGCUUAACACAUGCAAGUCGAGCGGAGCGAGGGUGCUUGCACCUUAGCUUAGCGGCGGACGGGUGAGUAAUGCUUAGGAAUCUGCCUAUUAGUGGGGGACAACAUUCCGAAAGGAAUGCUAAUACCGCAUACGCCCUACGGGGGAAAGCAGGGGAUCUUCGGACCUUGCGCUAAUAGAUGAGCCUAAGUCGGAUUAGCUAGUUGGGGGGGUAAAGGCCUACCAAGGCGACGAUCUGUCGCGGGUCUGAGAGGAUGAGCCGCCACACUGGGACUGAGACACGGCCCAGACUCCUACGGGAGGCAGCAGUGGGGAAUAUUGGACAAUGGGCGGAAGCCUGAUCCAGCCAUGCCGCGUGUGUGAAGAAGGCCUUUUGGUUGUAAAGCACUUUAAGCGAGGAGGAGGCUACUUAGAUUAAUACUCUGGGAUAGUGGACGUUACUCGCAGAAUAAGAACCGGCUAACUCUGUGCCAGCAGCCGCGGUAA
Molecule: ribosomal RNA, 501 nt
Filed under: uncultured bacterium
Lineage: Bacteria
Description: partial 16S ribosomal RNA
Rfam family: Bacterial small subunit ribosomal RNA
Source: RNAcentral